RNAcentral lists this long non-coding RNA (2598 nucleotides) under Felis catus (domestic cat). Its description in RNAcentral is "lncRNA (ENSFCAG00000050063.1)". The record is from RNAcentral. Lineage: Eukaryota; Metazoa; Chordata; Mammalia; Carnivora; Felidae.
AUGAGAGGAAGGUGUGGAGGGCUAGACUCACUGAGUGGAGUGAGGGAGGGGAAGGAAGGACCAGGAUGUGGCGUGAGUCAAUACCACACUGUGCUAGAGAUCCAUUUGCCCUCAGAAACCUACUGCCCAUGGACAAGCCACGAUCUGAAGGUACAGCUUAGUGAUGGAGCCUUGAAUUCUUUACUCUUUUAUUCCAUUUCAUUUUUUACUUGUCAUCAUUACUCAUUUCAUUCCAUUCCAGGGGCAAUCAAAUGUAAAAACAAGAGCAAAAAAUAUAUUUCUAUAAAUUUUUAUUUUCAACCUAAGAUUUUGAGCUUUUUUGUGGGUAUUAAUGUACUUAAGUUUUAUGAUAAGAAUAUUACUUCUAGUGGUUAUGUUGUGUUAUUACAUCUGAGCAAUUGUUACAAAGAUUAAUAAUGUGGUACUUGCAGAUGAUUUAGAGACGUGUUCUGUGAAUAUGCCUAAAAUUUGUUAUUUCUACCUAAUUCACAUUUUUUAUUCAUGAGAAAUGGCUUAAGGAAGAGAAAAUGUAGCACACAUUUUUAUUUGAUGUCUUUUAAUAAUUAUGAAGGAAAAAACUGACGAAAAGAAUGCGUAGACUAUACUCUUUAAUAUAUUUCAGCAAAUAUUUAUAAGAACUGACUGUAUGCAGGACACUUUGUUGGCUACAGGGUAUCCAUUCUUUAGAAUGUUUGCUUAGGACAGAAGUAAUUAUCUUACAGGUUUAUUAAAGGGUAUUAUCUCAACUGAGCUAAAAUGUUUAAAUAAGUGAUCUUGACAGGAGAGAUCUUGAAAGGAAACAUACAGCCAGGCUGUAAAGCGAUCUUCACUUGAGCUUGGACUUGUAAGAAUAAGUACACAAUGCUGCCCAAUGAGACUGAUAGGGUGUUAUCACCAUCUGGGACCUGUUGAUGUUUUACAGAUGAAGCAAUCGCCCCGAACUUCUAAGAGUGAACAGAGUCUGAAACUCGGGUUUUCUUGUUUCUAGCCAUUUGCUGGCUGCAGCAAAUCCCUGGUUCUCUUCCAAAAGAAAACAAGUUCUUCCACCUGGCAGCUUUGCAAAAUUUAUGCAAAGAUAGUAAUUUGAGGUUGGCCACUCUCAAGGUUAUGCUUCUGCAGAAAUAUUCUGCAGAAUGGGCUUCUGAGAAAUACUUUUUCCCAUCAAGAAAUAACACUGAACACCUCACCAAAGAAGACAUAUAGAUGGCAAGUAGGCACAUGAAAAGAUGCUUCAGGUUCGAGGUCGACCAGCAGGCCAAACGCAUGGCCACAGCAAGUCGUCAGGUUUAGAGGUUGACUGGCACACCAGAUCCCUAAUAGUUGGCCACCCAAAGCUCCAGGAGUCUGCGUGCCACAAGCGUCCCAAACAACAGUGAAUUACUACCACAAAUACUACUACACGCUUAUUAGAAUGGCCAAAAUCUGGAACACUGAAAACACCAGAUGCUGGCGAGGUUGUGGAAGAAGAGGAACUCUGGUUCUUGGCUGGUGGUAAUGCAAAAUGGUGUAGUCACUUGGAAGACAGUUUGGUGACUUCUUACAAAAGUAAACAUACUCUUACCAUACAAUCCAGCAGUUGUGUUCCUUGGUAUUUACCCAAAGGAAUCAAAAAAUUGUCCAUACAAAAACCUUCGCAAAAAUGUUUAUAGCAGCUUUAUUCAUAAUUGCCAAAAUCUGGAAGCAACAAAGAUAUCCCUUAGGAAGUGAAUGGAUAAGUAAACUGUGGCCCAUCCAGACAAUGGAAUACUAUUCAACAUUUUUUUAAAUGUUGUUUGUUUGUUUAUUUAUUUAUUUAAAUUUUAUUUUUUAUUUUUUAAAAUUUACAUCCAAAUUAGUUAGCAUAUAGUGAAACAAUGAUUUCAGGAGUAGAUUCCUCAAUGCCCCUUACCGAUUUAGCCCAUCCCCCCUUCCCACAACCCUGCCAGUAACCCCCAAUUUGUUCUCCAUGUUUAUGAGUCUCUUCUGUUUUGUCCCCCUCCCUGUUUUUAUAUUAUUUUUGUUUCUCUUCCCUUAUGUUCAUCUGUUUUGUCUCUUAAAGUCCUCAUGAGUGAAGUCAUAUGAUUUUUGUCAUUCUCUGACUGACUAAUUUCACUUAGGAUAAUACCCUCCAGUUCCAUCCACAUAGUUGCAAAUGGCAAGAUUUCAUUCUUUUUGAUUGCCAAGUAAUACUCCAUUGUAUAUAUACCACAUUUUCUUUAUCCAUUCAUCCAUCAAUGGACCUUUGAGCUCUUUCCAGACUUUGGCUAUUGUUGAUAGUGCUGUUAUAAACAUGGGGGUGCAUGUGUCCCUUCGAAACAGCACACCUGUAACCCGUGGAUAAAUGCCUAGUAGUGCAAUUUCUGGGUCGUAGGGUAGUUCUAUUUUUAGUUUUUUGAGGAACCUCCAUACUGUUUUCCAGAGUGGCUGCACCAGCAUGCAUUCCCACUAUUCAACAUUUUAAAAAAGUUAUGAAGCCAUGAAAACAUAUGGAAGAAACUUAAAUGCCUAUUACUAAAUGAAAGAAGACAACCUGAAAAGCUCUGUACUAUAUAAUUCCAGCUGUAUGACAUUCUGGAAAACCCAAAACUAUGGAGACAAUAAAAGAAUCAGCAGAUGCCA